GAAACGGAGACAACAAAAGUUCCAUACCUCUUUGACCUUCAUCAUAUGUUAGUGAAGGAUGCAACAAUGCAUUAAAACAGAAUUUUCAUUUUUUAAAAAAUUUCUCGAAAUCUAUGAGUUAACAACCCCUACGAAAAUAUUGAAUUUUUAGGUAAAUGAUAUAUAUACUUAAGUCUAUGAUCUUUUGUGUUGUUUUAAAAUUUCUAAACACAUUCUACAUUAGUAUUAAUGUACAUUAAACUCUUUCUCAUGAUACGUAGACAUCAUUUUAAUUUUUUUCAUAUUAAUUUAGUAAAACUUCAUAAUGCACCCUAAAUUGAUGGACUAACCACUAUAAAAUCCCUAUUUUCUAAUGAAACGGAGACAACAAAAGUUUCAAACCUCUUUGACCUUCAUCAUAUGUUAGUGAAGGAUGCAACAAUGCAUAAAAAAUAGAAUUUUCAUUUUUUUAAAAAAAAUUCGAAAUCUAUGAGUACCCCUACGAAAAUAUUGAAUUUUUAGGUAAAUGAUAUAUAUACUUAAGUCUAUGAUCUUUAGUGUUGUUUUAAAAUUUCUAAACACAUUCUACAUAUGUAUUAAUGUAUAUUAAUCUCUUUCUCAUGGUACGUGGGCAUCAUUUUAAUUUUUUGCCAAUUAAUUUAGUAAAACUUCAUAAUUCUCCCAAAAUUGGUGGACUAACCACUAUAAAAUCGCUAUUUUCUAAAGAAACCGAGACAACAAAAAUUCCAAACCUCUUUGACCUUCAUCAUAUGUUAGUAAAGGAUGAAACGAUGCAUUA
Brassica rapa (field mustard) is the source of this 778-nucleotide long non-coding RNA. RefSeq lists it as uncharacterized. The record is from RefSeq and is a predicted model, not a curated record. NCBI's taxonomy places the organism in Eukaryota, Viridiplantae, Streptophyta, Magnoliopsida, Brassicales, Brassicaceae.